CCUACGGGAGGCAGCAGUGGGGAAUAUUGGACAAUGGGGGCAACCCUGAUCCAGCCAUGCCGCGUGUGUGAAGAAGGCCCUCGGGUUGUAAAGCACUUUCAGUGAGGAAGAACGCCUGGUGGUUAAUACCCAUCAGGAAAGACAUCACUCACAGAAGAAGCACCGGCUAACUCCGUGCCAGCAGCCGCGGUAAUACGGAGGGGGCGAGCGUUAAUCGGAAUUACUGGGCGUAAAGCGCGCGUAGGUGGCUUGAUAAGCCGGUUGUGAAAGCCCCGGGCUCAACCUGGGAACGGCAUCCGGAACUGGCAAGCUAGAGUGCAGGAGAGGAAGGUAGAAUUCCCGGUGUAGCGGUGAAAUGCGUAGAGAUCGGGAGGAAUACCAGUGGCGAAGGCGGCCUUCUGGACUGACACUGACACUGAGGUGCGAAAGCGUGGGUAGCAAACAGGAUUAGAUACCCCGGUAGUC
This 465-nucleotide ribosomal RNA is filed under the name Vreelandella stevensii. RNAcentral's name for it is "partial 16S ribosomal RNA". It matches the Rfam family "Bacterial small subunit ribosomal RNA", at positions 338 to 795 of the family's 1533-position model. Lineage: Bacteria; Pseudomonadati; Pseudomonadota; Gammaproteobacteria; Oceanospirillales; Halomonadaceae. The record is from RNAcentral.